Molecule: ribosomal RNA, 403 nt
Filed under: uncultured Actinomycetes bacterium
Lineage: Bacteria; Bacillati; Actinomycetota; Actinomycetes
Description: bacterial SSU rRNA
Rfam family: Bacterial small subunit ribosomal RNA
Source: RNAcentral
CUUGACAUGUGCGUGAAAACCGUGGAAACAUGGUCCUCCUUCGGGACGCGUGCACAGGUUGGUGCAUUGGCUGUCGUCAGCUCGUGUCGUGAGAUGUUGGUUAAGUCCCGCAACGAGCGCAACCCUUAUCGCAUGUUGCCAGCGGGUCAUGCCGGGAACUCAUGCGAGACUGUCGGUGUCAAACCGGAGGAAGGUGGGAUGACGUCAAGUCAUCAUGCCCCUUAUGCCCUGGGCUGCACACGUGCUACAAUGGCCGGUACAGAGGGCUGCGAUACCGCGAGGUGGAGCGAAUCCCAGAAAGCCGGUCUAAGUUCGGAUUGGAGGCUGCAACUCGCCUUCAUGAAGUCGGAGUCGCUAGUAAUCGCGAAUCAGCAAUGUCGCGGUGAAUACGUUCCCGGGCCUU